This 253-nucleotide ribosomal RNA is filed under the name uncultured bacterium. RNAcentral's name for it is "partial 16S ribosomal RNA". It matches the Rfam family "Bacterial small subunit ribosomal RNA", at positions 524 to 776 of the family's 1533-position model. The record is from RNAcentral.
UACGUAGGGUGCGAGCGUUAAUCGGAAUUAUUGGGUUUAAAGGGUGCGUAGGCGGCUUAUUAAGUCAGGGGUGAAAGACGGUGGCUCAACCAUCGCAGUGCCUUUGAUACUGAUGAGCUUGAAUGAACUAGAGGUAGGCGGAAUGAGACAAGUAGCGGUGAAAUGCAUAGAUAUGUCUCAGAACACCAAUUGCGAAGGCAGCUUACUAUGGUUUUAUUGACGCUGAGGCACGAAAGCGUGGGGAUCAAACAGG